This 71-nucleotide transfer RNA is filed under the name Nanobdellota archaeon. RNAcentral describes it as "tRNA-Phe". It matches the Rfam family "tRNA". Rfam says of the family: Transfer RNA (tRNA) molecules are approximately 80 nucleotides in length. Their secondary structure includes four short double-helical elements and three loops (D, anti-codon, and T loops). The record is from RNAcentral. Lineage: Archaea; Nanobdellati; Nanobdellota.
GGCCACGUAGCAUAAUGGGAAUGCAAACGACUGAAGCUCGUUGUAAGAGGGUUCGAUUCCCCCCGUGGCCA